Molecule: long non-coding RNA, 361 nt
Organism: Oncorhynchus tshawytscha (Chinook salmon)
Lineage: Eukaryota; Metazoa; Chordata; Actinopteri; Salmoniformes; Salmonidae
Source: Ensembl
UAACAUGUUAUAGAACAACAGGCUUGAACAGUUAUAACAUGUUAUAGAACAACAGGCUUGAGAACAGUUAUAACAUGUUAUAGAACAACAGGCUUGAGAACAGUUAUAACAUGUUAUAGAACAACAGGCUUGAGAACAGUUAUAACAUGUUAUAGAAGAACAGGCUUGAGAACAGUUAUAACAUGUUAUAGAACAACAGGCUUGAGAACAGUUAUAACAUGUUAUAGAACAACAGGCUUGAGAACAGUUAUAACAUGUUAUAGAACAACAGGCUUGAGCCUCCAUGUGUUGCCUUCCGUUUGCUCCUCACUGGUUUAUCACUUUAUAUCUAUAUCUAUAUCACUAUAUCAAUUUAACCUGG